This 2906-nucleotide ribosomal RNA is filed under the name Salmonella enterica subsp. enterica. RNAcentral describes it as "bacterial LSU rRNA". It matches the Rfam family "Bacterial large subunit ribosomal RNA". The record is from RNAcentral. Lineage: Bacteria; Pseudomonadati; Pseudomonadota; Gammaproteobacteria; Enterobacterales; Enterobacteriaceae.
UUAAGCGACUAAGCGUACACGGUGGAUGCCCUGGCAGUCAGAGGCGAUGAAGGGCGUGCUAAUCUGCGAUAAGCGCCGGUAAGGUGAUAUGAACCGUUAUAACCGGCGAUACCCGAAUGGGGAAACCCAGUGUGACUCGUCACACUAUCAUUAACUGAAUCCAUAGGUUAAUGAGGCGAACCGGGGGAACUGAAACAUCUAAGUACCCCGAGGAAAAGAAAUCAACCGAGAUUCCCCCAGUAGCGGCGAGCGAACGGGGAGGAGCCCAGAGCCUGAAUCAGCAUGUGUGUUAGUGGAAGCGUCUGGAAAGGCGCGCGAUACAGGGUGACAGCCCCGUACACAAAAGCGCAUGUGCUGUGAGCUCGAUGAGUAGGGCGGGACACGUGGUAUCCUGUCUGAAUAUGGGGGGACCAUCCUCCAAGGCUAAAUACUCCUGACUGACCGAUAGUGAACCAGUACCGUGAGGGAAAGGCGAAAAGAACCCCGGCGAGGGGAGUGAAAAAGAACCUGAAACCGUGUACGUACAAGCAGUGGGAGCACAGGUUUACCUGUGUGACUGCGUACCUUUUGUAUAAUGGGUCAGCGACUUAUAUUCUGUAGCAAGGUUAACCGUAUAGGGGAGCCGGAGGGAAACCGAGUCUUAAUUGGGCGUUAAGUUGCAGGGUAUAGACCCGAAACCCGGUGAUCUAGCCAUGGGCAGGUUGAAGGUUGGGUAACACUAACUGGAGGACCGAACCGACUAAUGUUGAAAAAUUAGCGGAUGACCUGUGGCUGGGGGUGAAAGGCCAAUCAAACCGGGAGAUAGCUGGUUCUCCCCGAAAGCUAUUUAGGUAGCGCCUCGUGAAUUCAUCUCCGGGGGUAGAGCACUGUUUCGGCUAGGGGGCCAUCCCGGCUUACCAACCCGAUGCAAACUGCGAAUACCGGAGAAUGUUAUCACGGGAGACACACGGCGGGUGCUAACGUCCGUCGUGAAGAGGGAAACAACCCAGACCGCCAGCUAAGGUCCCAAAGUCAUGGUUAAGUGGGAAACGAUGUGGGAAGGCCCAGACAGCCAGGAUGUUGGCUUAGAAGCAGCCAUCAUUUAAAGAAAGCGUAAUAGCUCACUGGUCGAGUCGGCCUGCGCGGAAGAUGUAACGGGGCUAAACCAUGCACCGAAGCUGCGGCAGCGACGCUUAUGCGUUGUUGGGUAGGGGAGCGUUCUGUAAGCCUGUGAAGGUGGCCUGUGAGGGUUGCUGGAGGUAUCAGAAGUGCGAAUGCUGACAUAAGUAACGAUAAAGCGGGUGAAAAGCCCGCUCGCCGGAAGACCAAGGGUUCCUGUCCAACGUUAAUCGGGGCAGGGUGAGUCGACCCCUAAGGCGAGGCCGAAAGGCGUAGUCGAUGGGAAACGGGUUAAUAUUCCCGUACUUGGUGUUACUGCGAAGGGGGGACGGAGAAGGCUAUGUUGGCCGGGCGACGGUUGUCCCGGUUUAAGCGUGUAGGUGUGUGUUCCAGGUAAAUCCGGUUCACUUUAACACUGAGGCGUGACGACGAGGCACUACGGUGCUGAAGCAACAAAUGCCCUGCUUCCAGGAAAAGCCUCUAAGCAUCAGGUAACAUCAAAUCGUACCCCAAACCGACACAGGUGGUCAGGUAGAGAAUACCAAGGCGCUUGAGAGAACUCGGGUGAAGGAACUAGGCAAAAUGGUGCCGUAACUUCGGGAGAAGGCACGCUGACACGUAGGUGAAGUGAUUUACUCAUGGAGCUGAAGUCAGUCGAAGAUACCAGCUGGCUGCAACUGUUUAUUAAAAACACAGCACUGUGCAAACACGAAAGUGGACGUAUACGGUGUGACGCCUGCCCGGUGCCGGAAGGUUAAUUGAUGGGGUCAGCGCAAGCGAAGCUCCUGAUCGAAGCCCCGGUAAACGGCGGCCGUAACUAUAACGGUCCUAAGGUAGCGAAAUUCCUUGUCGGGUAAGUUCCGACCUGCACGAAUGGCGUAAUGAUGGCCAGGCUGUCUCCACCCGAGACUCAGUGAAAUUGAACUCGCUGUGAAGAUGCAGUGUACCCGCGGCAAGACGGAAAGACCCCGUGAACCUUUACUAUAGCUUGACACUGAACAUUGAGCCUUGAUGUGUAGGAUAGGUGGGAGGCUUUGAAGUGUGGACGCCAGUCUGCAUGGAGCCGACCUUGAAAUACCACCCUUUAAUGUUUGAUGUUCUAACGUGGACCCGUUACCCGGGUUGCGGACAGUGUCUGGUGGGUAGUUUGACUGGGGCGGUCUCCUCCUAAAGAGUAACGGAGGAGCACGAAGGUUGGCUAAUCCUGGUCGGACAUCAGGAGGUUAGUGCAAUGGCAUAAGCCAGCUUGACUGCGAGCGUGACGGCGCGAGCAGGUGCGAAAGCAGGUCAUAGUGAUCCGGUGGUUCUGAAUGGAAGGGCCAUCGCUCAACGGAUAAAAGGUACUCCGGGGAUAACAGGCUGAUACCGCCCAAGAGUUCAUAUCGACGGCGGUGUUUGGCACCUCGAUGUCGGCUCAUCACAUCCUGGGGCUGAAGUAGGUCCCAAGGGUAUGGCUGUUCGCCAUUUAAAGUGGUACGCGAGCUGGGUUUAGAACGUCGUGAGACAGUUCGGUCCCUAUCUGCCGUGGGCGCUGGAGAACUGAGGGGGGCUGCUCCUAGUACGAGAGGACCGGAGUGGACGCAUCACUGGUGUUCGGGUUGUCAUGCCAAUGGCACUGCCCGGUAGCUAAAUGCGGAAGAGAUAAGUGCUGAAAGCAUCUAAGCACGAAACUUGCCCCGAGAUGAGUUCUCCCUGAGACUUUAAGUCUCCUGAAGGAACGUUGAAGACGACGACGUUGAUAGGCCGGGUGUGUAAGCGCAGCGAUGCGUUGAGCUAACCGGUACUAAUGAACCGUGAGGCUUAACCUU